AUUGAACGCUGGCGGUAUGCUUAACACAUGCAAGUCGAACGGCAGCGCGGGAAAGCUUGCUUUCCUGGCGGCGAGUGGCGGACGGGUGAGUAAUGCUUAGGAAUCUGCCCACUAGUGGGGGAUAGCCCGGGGAAACUCGGAUUAAUACCGCAUAAGCCCUAUGGGGGAAANCUGGGGACCCAGCACCAUAGCCUUUUGGCAGCCGAUCGUGGCGACAAGAAAGAGGUUAUGGGCUGGGCCUGGCGCUGGUGGAUGAGCCUAAGUCCUAUCAGCUAGUUGGUGGGUAAGAGCCUACCAAGGCGACGACGGGUAGCUGGUCUGAGAGGAUGAUCAGCCACACUGGGACUGAGACACGGCCCAGACUCCUACGGGAGGCAGCAGUGGGGGAAUAUUGGACAAUGGGACGAAAGCCUGAUCCAGCAAUGCCGCGUGUGU
Molecule: ribosomal RNA, 435 nt
Filed under: uncultured bacterium
Lineage: Bacteria
Description: bacterial SSU rRNA
Rfam family: Bacterial small subunit ribosomal RNA
Source: RNAcentral